AAUUUUUUUUUCAUAAAAGAUCACUCCUUUGAGAACAUGUUUUCAUAUUUGUGCUUUUCUUGACAUUUUAGGAAGCAAAAUUACAUGCAAACAUUUGUUCUGCAAACCCAAAGUGUGAAGAAGCUGUGCCUGAGUUUCAGAAUCUGUUUCGUUUGCACAGAGGCCCAUGGAAGAGCCGCGUCUCAGCUUGUGUUCCACACGGAGCAUCAUCUUCUUCAGGCCAAAGGAAACGGAGCAGGUGACACUGCUAAGGGAGGCCAGACUCGAAAUCCCUGUAAACCUGCAUCUCCGUCAAAGGGGCUUCCGGCGGCCGGCGGCGUCUCAGCGGGACACCUGAAAACGGAAUGACAGUCGACAGUCCCAGGAAAACACAGGACCCUGUCAAGAGUCCGGGUCCUUAGGAAGCGUCUCAAAGGCCGGUAUCUUUGAGGAAAGUGGCCUUAUCUGGACUCCAGGGCUGUAAAAACAGGACCUCUCUCUGGAAGCCCCUGCAGAGAUGGGGACCACAGGGCAGCGCCCAUGGCGACACACACGAGCAGGAGGAAAGACACCUGGAAACAGCCUGUGGCCUUCACUGGUCCUGGCUCGGGUCUUGGCCGCCAUCAGAGCCUCAGUGUUUCCCUCAGCGAAAUGACCCUGCUUGGCCCGAGGGGAGAGGCGGGUGGGGAAGAGAGGCCAGGAGAGGAGAGGGGGCCGGGAGAAGGCGCCGCGGCGGUGGGGGUGUGGGAGCACCUGCCAAGCGGGGGGACGGAGACUCCGGGGCACCUGGGAGGCCGCGGAGGAAGUUGAGCAGCAGAGGGGUCGGCAGGGAGAGGCCCCUGAGUGGCCAGGCGCCGCGGACAGUGGCUGUGCAGAGCAGGAGUGGCUGCGGGAGGCAGAGGGGCACGGGGACACCCACGGGGAGGCUUCCACUGUCCCGCUCACAGCGCUGCCGCCUCCGGAUGGUUGGUUCUGGGAACCCUGCCCUCACCCUGGUGCCAGAGGUGCCGAGGGCACCAGACCAACACAGGCGGGGCAGCGAUGCCAGUCAGACCCCUCCAGGCAGCCUGGCUCCGGCCGCAGCCCUGGAGGGAGCUGGACGCCUGCAACCGAGACUCCGUGGGUACGUCCCGCGCUAGGCCCGGCCCGGGAAGGGGAGGGCUCGGAAGGGCGUCCAACCGGAAGCCAGCCCUGCCCCACGUGUGCUGGGACCUGUGCACCAGGGAAGCAGCGCGCCCAGCACCCGGGGCCUGCGCAACGCCCAGAGAGCCGUGACUUCCCUAAGGAGCCACCAAGGUAAGGGCCCUGUGUCCUGGACUGUGUUUCUGUCCUGGACUGUGGACCGCGACGCUCAGCUGAGCGCAGGGGCAAGGACUCCUCCCAGCUCACUGGACAAGGCAGGAUGUGUGCGAGCCGUCGCGACCGGCCGGCAUUUAUCAGCCUUGGACUUGGACGGGUUGGAUAAGCACAAAGUGGCUUUCGGCGACACUUCACAGCCUAGAAACGCCUUCACCGCCGUCCCCUCUGCCACUUGGGCCGCUGUCCCCCCACUGGGCCCGGGCUGGGGUCCUGGAAGAACCGGCCGGCAGCCCCUGCCCCACGGCUCACCACGAGCAUCUCUGCAGAGAACUGGUUCCCGGGCAUUUCAUGGUGAGAAGCCUACGGCAAACUUCCCUAUAACACCAGGCGAAUAUGAGAAGGAGAGCGGGGAACUUGCCCGCCCAGGCGCAGGGACUCUGGGACCCGAGGGGAGCCUCCCAGCACUGGAGGCGUGGCUUCCUCGCCAUCCUUUGGGACCUGGGUUUGUCGGAGCCGCUGCCACGGAGGUGAUAACCCCCAGCCCAGCAGGCAGGGAGCCCUGAGCCCUGACCAGGACGGGGUGAUGGAGGGGCGGCCAGAGAGGCCACAUGGAGGCAACACGGCUGUAUCUUACCUUCCGCACCUAUUCGUGGAUUUUGCCCAAGUUGCCCAGAUUAGCUGGCUGCAGUGGGCUGGACUAUGUCCCCACAAAAAGACAUGUCCAAGUCCCGCCCCCAGGACCUGUGGAAACUGCGUGAACUUACUGGGAAACUGCCUUUGCCGAGGUAAUUAAAGUCAGACCUCAAGUGAGUUGUCCUGUAUCGAAAGCAGCCUUACAUCUCGUGACUCGUGUCCUUCUCAGAGAAAGACGAGGGUGACCGGCACCCGCAGACACGACCCUGGAGACAUUAGAGAAAGGACUCUAAGCUGAAAACCCUCCAAGAAGGAGAACGGCAUACCCAGAUGGCGUCACGAGAAAUUCCAGCAGACAUUUAAAGAGAUGAUGCCAGCUCCACGCAAACUCGUGCAGAAAUUCCAAGAGAACUGAAGAACCCUUUCUCAAGGCUAACAUCCCUCUGAUACCAGACAGGGCAUCACAGGAAAGGAGCCACAUCCUGGGUAAUACAGACGCGGAUCUCCUGCAAAAUGCUUGCAAGUAGAUUGUGACCGUGCACAGAAGGAUAACGCGUCACGCCUGGGCGGGAAAGGACAGGUCUGCUCGCAGUCAGCACUUCUAUUCCAAAGCGUCCUCCGGAGCCCAGCCAGUGAGAAGGGAAUGAAAGGCAGCUGAAGGCAGGCUGUCUUUGUUGGCAGAGAAUCUGUCUUUCUACCCAGAAAUUACAGACCUGAUGAGAAAGGCACCAGACUUUGCCAGGGAAGCUAGUCAGUCCAGCACCAGUUCCCGAAAUGUGUGUUAGAGAUAAACUGUAUUCUGGGCGUUCCCUCCGUGGCUCAGCGCUUAACACACCCGACUAGGAUCCUUGAGGAUGUGGGUUGGAUCCCUGGCCUUGCUCAGUGGGUUAAGGAUCCGGUGUUGCCGUGAGCUGUGGUGUCGGUCGCAGAUGUGGCUCGGAUCUAGCAUUGUGGUGGCUGUGGUGUAGGCUGGCAGCUGUAGCUCUGAUUUGACCCCUAGCCUGGGAAUUUUCAUAUGCUGCGGGUGCGGUCCUAAAAAGCAAAGAAAAAAAAAAGACAUUUUCAACAGGGAUUUCCUGCAUAGCAUAGGGAACUAUGUCCAAUACCUUGUGAUAACCUAUCGCGGAAAAGAAUCGGAGUGUAUACACAUCUCUGGGUCACUUUGCUGUACACCUGAAACUAACACAAUAUUGUAAAUCGACUACACUUCCAUUGUAAACAAGAAAAAAUCGACAUUGUGAAGUACCAUGUACACACAGUACUCACUUAGCGGUAAAUCUGACAAAAGAUAUGCAAGAUUUAUACCUGGAAAACCACAAAACUUUGCUGAGAGAAAUGAAGGAAACCUAAAUAAAUGGAGAGACACCAUGCUGAUGGAUCGAAAGCUCAGUAACGUGAAGAUAUUAUUUCCUCCGAAAUCGAUGCGUAACCGCAGCACGACGCCAAUCCAGAUGCAGAGGGUUUUCCCAGGGAAAUUCACACACCGACGCUAAGAUUCAUGUGCAGAAGGAACUGAGAACGGCUGGAACCACUUUCAAGAAGAACAGCUAAGUUCGGGGCUCAGAUCUAACCAAUUCCAAGACAUGUUCUAAGGCCCCAGGAAUCGAGAUGGCGCAGAAUGGAUGGAUAACGGGCGGUAGAGCGUCCAGACGUGACAGCGCGUGUAUGCAAAGGCACAUAACGUCGAUUGACCCCUGACGAAGGCGCAGAGGCAAUUCCGUGGAGAAGGACAGCCUCUCAGUAAGGUGGCUGGCAACGUGUGCCACAGGAGACAUUAUACAUACAUAACUAUACACACACUCCUCUCGUCAUGUAAAACAUCAGCUCACAGCAGCGUCUACACCUAAAUGUAAACUGGGAAAUUAUGAGACUUCUCGAAGGAAAACAGAAGAGGAAGAGGGAUGGACGGGGCGUUUGGGGUCCGUAGAUGCAAACCAUUGCAUUUCAGGUAGAUAAGCAGUGGGGUCCUGCUGUGCAGCACAGGGAACUCGACCCAGUCACUUGUGAUAGAACAUGAUGGAGGGAAUAUGAGAAAAAGAAUGCACGUCUAAGUAUGACCGGGUCACCUUGCCGGACGGCAGAAAUUGACAGAAGGUGGUAAAUCAACUCUA
This 4022-nucleotide long non-coding RNA is filed under the name Sus scrofa (pig). RNAcentral describes it as "lncRNA (ENSSSCG00000053647.1)". Lineage: Eukaryota; Metazoa; Chordata; Mammalia; Artiodactyla; Suidae. The record is from RNAcentral.